UUUGUACACUUAAAACGUUGA
This is a non-coding RNA of Caenorhabditis elegans, 21 nucleotides long. NCBI's taxonomy places the organism in Eukaryota, Metazoa, Nematoda, Chromadorea, Rhabditida, Rhabditidae. The record is from Ensembl.